AUUGAACGCUGGCGGCAGGCUUAACACAUGCAAGUCGAACGGUAACAUAAAGAAGCUUGCUUCUUUGAUGACGAGUGGCGGACGGGUGAGUAAUGCUUGGGAAUCUAGCUUAUGGAGGGGGAUAACUACGGGAAACUGUAGCUAAUACCGCGUAGAAUCGAGAGAUGAAAGUGUGGGACCUUCGGGCCACAUGCCAUAGGAUGAGCCCAAGUGGGAUUAGGUAGUUGGUGAGGUAAAGGCUCACCAAGCCGACGAUCUCUAGCUGGUCUGAGAGGAUGACCAGCCACACUGGGACUGAGACACGGCCCAGACUCCUACGGGAGGCAGCAGUGGGGAAUAUUGCGCAAUGGGGGCAACCCUGACGCAGCCAUGCCGCGUGAAUGAAGAAGGCCUUCGGGUUGUAAAGUUCUUUCGGUAGCGAGGAAGGCAUUUAGUUUAGUAGACUAG
This 447-nucleotide ribosomal RNA is filed under the name Terrahaemophilus aromaticivorans. RNAcentral describes it as "bacterial SSU rRNA". It matches the Rfam family "Bacterial small subunit ribosomal RNA", at positions 30 to 471 of the family's 1533-position model. Lineage: Bacteria; Pseudomonadati; Pseudomonadota; Gammaproteobacteria; Pasteurellales; Pasteurellaceae. The record is from RNAcentral.